ACCACAUUAUCUUUCUCUAUUGCCAACAAAUUCUAACUGCCAUUCUCUUCACACUCCCCUCGCAAUCCCACAAAUUGUUUCACAUUUAUAUGUGACAAUGAAUCUUUUUUAAAUUCCUCAGUUUUACAAGUUUUUUCGGUUAAAUUCUUAAUUUUUUUUAAUUGCUUUAUAUACUAAAUUCUUGAUCUUUUAUUAAAAUUUCGUCCAAAA
Molecule: unclassified non-coding RNA, 210 nt
Filed under: Hevea brasiliensis (rubber tree)
Lineage: Eukaryota; Viridiplantae; Streptophyta; Magnoliopsida; Malpighiales; Euphorbiaceae
Source: RNAcentral